UACAGAGGUCUCAAGCGUUGUUCGGAUUCAUUGGGCGUAAAGCGUGUGUAGGUGGCCAUUCAAGUCAGUUGUGAAAGCCCCGGCUUAACCGGGAAGUGCUUCUGAUACUGUUUGGCUUGAGUACUGGAGAGGAUAGUAGAAUUCCAGGUGUAGUGGUGAAAUACGUAGAUAUCUGGAAGAAUACCGGUGGCGAAGGCGGCUAUCUGGCCAUGUACUGACGCUGAGACACGAAAGCGUGGGAGCAACAGG
This 249-nucleotide ribosomal RNA is filed under the name uncultured bacterium. RNAcentral describes it as "partial 16S ribosomal RNA". It matches the Rfam family "Bacterial small subunit ribosomal RNA", at positions 524 to 776 of the family's 1533-position model. The record is from RNAcentral.